CUGAGAUCAAUCCCGUCGCCAGCAACCACAAAGCGCUGCUACUAGCAAGCGCUCGCGUGGCAAGGGAACUUCUUCUUCUACUUCACCUUCAUCUGGGCAACCACCAGCAACCCCACCACAACAACAACUAGUCCGAGCAAGAAGAACAACAGCUGCAAAUCCAGCCGCACUUGGUCGACAUUGCUUAUGGACAUUUUAAAAUGCUGAUAACGAGAGCCGCUUCCAAGUCAUGAGAUAGAAGCAAGUAAUGGCCGGACGAUGCAUUGACUUUGUAUCCCUGGAGAGAGUGGGAUUGGCUCAGGAUGUUCGUGCAUUGUUUGACACACUGCCUUACGCACGCUUCUUCGACAUCAUUGAGCCUACCUACCGUGAGCUCACCAUUGAAUUCCUAAGCACCUUCUUCCUAUAGCAACAUAUCACAAACUAGCAUCAGCCUAAUGCAGUUUACUUCAGACUUGGAGGAAGGGAGGGCUCAAUGUCAGUUCUACAGUUCGGGAUGCACUUGGAUUUAUGGACUGGGCAAGAGAUCUCAAAUGAGGAGUAUCAAGGAUGCAUCUAUGUCCACCGCAUCUCGUACGACACCAUAUGGGAUUUAAUAGUACUCAGGCCAGAAUCGUAUUAUUCCAGCAGGUCUAAGGCGUCUAGCCUUCCGAAUCAUCUUCGCUAUCUUCAUACAGUUUUAGCUUACACUAUUACAAGCCGAGGAGAUAGUUUUAGAGCGGUCACACAGACCGAUGUACUCAUUCUCUAGGCUAUGCAACACCAUAAGAAGCUUGACAUGGGAUAUUUAUUUGCUCGUCAAGUCCGUUCCUUUAUAGUCGACGCCCAUAAGAAAAUGCAUUGCUGCUUUGGCCAAUAUGUGACUAGAUUGGCCAAGAGGUUGGAUGUAUUGGACGACUGUCUAGCUGAGCUUUCUCAGAUUGGUGACAUGACACCAUUAGGGGUUAGACAGAUGAUCAACAUGCAGAUGAUCAUAGCCACUCGACACCCACAUGGCAUUUAGUAUAGGCUCGUCAGUGCAAUAAUCAAGGAGGCUAGAGAGGCAGUAGGUCUAGAAGCCUAAGACCCUACUGCUAAGAUUCUAGAUGUUAGGAUUCCUAACCCAGCCAGAGUAUUUAUGCCUACAUCUGGAGCUUCCCCUUCUUACUUUGUAGGGACAUCGAGUGCUCAGAUUAGUGCUUUGGCUGACCGACUAGAUCGAGUUUGUGAUUUAUAGCAGCAGCACUAUACUGAGUUUGUGCAGCAUAGAAAGGAGUUUGGGUAGUUUCAAGAUGAGACUAGGGCACAGUUCCAGGGGAUAAAUGAUAUGCUCUAGCAGCUUAUGGAUGGAUUGCAUAGGCAGGCCACCCAAACGGACCUCAUGGCGGAGCAGAUAUAAAAGAUGGCGGAUUCUGGAGCAUAAUCUCAGCGAUUCAUUGAUGACAUUGAGUUUGAUCUAGCAGGUGAUUAUCAAUGGACAUUAUCAGUAGUCGAGGGAGAUACGUGCAAAUACGGACCAGAACCCAUCAAAAUUAAGCAAAGGCUACCACUUCAAGGUUGAGCAUGGCCUGGACUUUGGCGUGCUGAACCAUUGACAUUUGACCCUCAAAAGUGUCCUUUAGGCAAGGUUUCUGAGGCCACCACGGCCUCUAUCACUGUCAGGGAGAAUAGCUAUUUUUCAAGACUCGGAGGUCCAGCACGGGCAGAGCACGGGCUUGACCACGGCUUUGUUGGGACAAUUAUAUAGGCUUCGAUAUUUGACUUUGGGAGACUAUUUCGCAUAUUGAAGAUCAAGAGUGGAUUUGGAGGCAUUCAAAAGGCAAUUUUAGGUUUAUUAUUCAGAUUUGGGGAUUUAGGGCUGUUCAUCUGACUUGAAGAAGAAGGGUGUACAUGUUUUCAAUUUGCUUUUAUGUAUUUGUUCCUUACUUUGUGUUAUUUGUUAGCAUGAGUAGCUAGAAUUGUUGAACCAAUUGGGGUUCCUUUGUUGUUGGAUUGCAUUUAAUGUUUAUGAGAUUUUGAUUAUCAA
This is a long non-coding RNA of Ricinus communis (castor bean), 2005 nucleotides long. RefSeq lists it as uncharacterized. NCBI's taxonomy places the organism in Eukaryota, Viridiplantae, Streptophyta, Magnoliopsida, Malpighiales, Euphorbiaceae. The transcript has 3 exons. The record is from RefSeq and is a predicted model, not a curated record.